UUGGUGGCUCUGGGUCUGAAAUAUUCCUGUCAUCCAUAAAAUUUGUUCAAUGGACAUCUCUUCCUAUGCCAUCCCCCUAAUCUACCUCACCUCUGUUGUCAAGGACCACCUCUAGUGAAAGGUGAGGGGAUAGUUCAGAUCUCCAUUGCCCAUUCAUAUCCUGGCCUCU
This 169-nucleotide small RNA is filed under the name Chelonoidis abingdonii (Abingdon island giant tortoise). RNAcentral describes it as "TUC338 (ENSCABG00000006185.1)". Lineage: Eukaryota; Metazoa; Chordata; Testudines; Testudinidae. The record is from RNAcentral.